AUGUUUUUGACGGUUGAGAAUAUAAGUCUGUGGAAUGGGAUAUUCAACGGUGAGGAGCAGUUAGUUAUACAUGCGCAAUGGAGAAUGAUUAUUCAGACACUAAUAGCACUAGAGUUUCGGACAGAGGAGGUUCCACGUCUACUGUUGGAGGAGGCAGGGGGUGCUGCCACCGUGGGUUUUGACCCGUCCUACGAGUGGGGUGGUGGGAAAUGGAAAGAGAGUGAUUUGAGUAGCCUUGAGGAUCUCAUGAAUGAACAUUCUUCUCUGCCUCCUCAAAUCGCUGAAUGGUUUUGGUGUAUCCAAAUUCGUCAAGGACUUCCGCUGCACACUCGAUUUGAUGAACAUGGGUUAUCCUUCCACUAAAAUGACUAUGGAAGCAGGAUCAAUGAAGUCCUGUCUCUUACAAUCUUGGAGUUCUUGUUUGAUCCAACCAAGAUUGAUGCUGCUUCCAAGAAUUGAGUUUGAUUUAUCUUUGAGCAGCACCCAUGUUCUCAAUGCCAUUCUGAAACACAUUCCACUAUCAGAACUACGACCGGGCAUGCCGCAGCUAUCAAAGUUCCAUUUAUUAUUGCCCGUAAGAACAUGUCAUUGCCACAAUGUGCACUGGAGAAGCUCCUACCUACCGUAGAAGUAAAUGACCCUGUUUAUAGAGAUCAUCAACCAGAGCAGAUGGAUGAUGCAUGCGAGGAGAUGAGCAGCAAGCGCAUAGUGCUGCUGGUUUCGGAACAAACCAAUAUAAACGAUAAGGAUAAAGUCCAGCCCCGGGGCAAGAAGAAUGCAAACAUUCCACCAAGACCGGAGACCGUAUGCUGGAAAUGUGAAAGAGAAGGAGGACCGUCGCUGUUGAUAUUGUAGCAGAAGCGAGUGUGCAGCAAAAGUUGGCAAAGAAUGCUUGAAUUGUCCGGUUCAGUACGACUUGAAUGACCACGAAUCUCGGAAGUUGUUGAGUUGUGCAAAGAGAAGACUCUUGAAGUUUUUACAGCUACUUUGUGGAGCAAGCAAGAGGCUGAAAUAGAUGGAAGGUCCUGCCUGUGACAACCUCUCCUACUCAUACUCACUAUUGUAAAUUUUUCUGGGUAAUUACAUAAUUGUAAUUUGUUGUAAAAAAAAACUGUGAAUGGUGAUACUUUACAGUAACUACAUAUUUUUACCAAAGAGUUAAAAAAAAAGAAGAGUUACCAGAGGCAAGUGACG
This is an RNA transcript of Raphanus sativus (radish), 1194 nucleotides long. RefSeq lists it as uncharacterized. The transcript has 8 exons. Lineage: Eukaryota; Viridiplantae; Streptophyta; Magnoliopsida; Brassicales; Brassicaceae. The record is from RefSeq and is a predicted model, not a curated record.